This 799-nucleotide ribosomal RNA is filed under the name uncultured bacterium. RNAcentral describes it as "bacterial SSU rRNA". It matches the Rfam family "Bacterial small subunit ribosomal RNA", at positions 8 to 832 of the family's 1533-position model. The record is from RNAcentral.
AGAGUUUGAUCCUGGCUCAGGACGAACGCUGGCGGCGUGCCUAACACAUGCAAGUCGAGCGGAAGACUUCGGUCUUCAGCGGCGGACGGGUGAGUAACACGUGGGUAACCUGCCUCAUAGAGGGGGAUAGCCUCCCGAAAGGGAGAUUAAUACCGCAUAACAUCAUGCUAACGCAUGUUAGUUUGAUCAAAGGAGUAAUCCGCUAUGAGAUGGACCCGCGGCGCAUUAGCUAGUUGGUGAGGUAAUGGCUCACCAAGGCGACGAUGCGUAGCCGACCUGAGGGGGUGAUCGGCCACAUUGGAACUGAGACACGGUCCAGACUCCUACGGGAGGCAGCAGUGGGGAAUAUUGCACAAUGGGCGAAAGCCUGAUGCAGCAACGCCGCGUGAGUGAAGAAGGCCUUCGGGUUGUAAAGCUCUGUCUUUUGGGACGAUAAUGACGGUACCAAAGGAGGAAGCCACGGCUAACUACGUGCCAGCAGCCGCGGUAAUACGUAGGUGGCAAGCGUUGUCCGGAUUUACUGGGCGUAAAGGAUGCGUAGGUGGAUAUUUAAGUGGGAUGUGAAAUACCCGGGCUCAACUUGGGUGCUGCAUUCCAAACUGGAUAUCUAGAGUGCAGGAGAGGUAAGUGGAAUUCCUAGUGUAGCGGUGAAAUGCGUAGAGAUUAGGAAGAACACCAGUGGCGAAGGCGACUUACUGGACUGUAACUGACACUGAGGCAUGAAAGCGUGGGGAGCAAACAGGAUUAGAUACCCUGGUAGUCCACGCCGUAAACGAUGGGUACUAGGUGUGGGAGGUAU